Molecule: long non-coding RNA, 1923 nt
Organism: Oncorhynchus tshawytscha (Chinook salmon)
Lineage: Eukaryota; Metazoa; Chordata; Actinopteri; Salmoniformes; Salmonidae
Source: Ensembl
GUUCUAAAGGAGUGGUUGGGCAGGUUCUAAAGGAGUUGUUGGGCAGGUUCUAAAGGAGUGGUUGGGCAGGUUCUGAAGGAGUGGUUGGGCAGGUUCUGAAGGAGUGGUUGGGCAGGUUCUGGAGGAGUGGUUGGGCAGGUUCUAAAGGAGUGGUUGGGCAGGUUCUGAAGGAGUAGUUGGGCAGGUUCUACAGGAGUGGUUGGGCAGGUUCUAAAGGAGUGGUUGGGCAGGUUCUAAAGGAGUGGUUAGGCAGGUUCUAAAGGAGUGGUUGGGCAGGUUCUAAAGGAGUGGUUGGGCAGGUUCUAAAGGAGUUGUUGGGCAGGUUCUAAAGGAGUGGUUGGGCAGGUUCUGAAGGAGUGGUUGGGCAGGUUCUGAAGGAGUGGUUGGGCAGGUUCUGGAGGAGUGGUUGGGCAGGUUCUAAAGGAGUGGUUGGGCAGGUUCUGAAGGAGUAGUUGGGCAGGUUCUAAAGGAGUGGUUGGGCAGGUUCUAAAGGAGUGGUUGGGAAGGUUCUAAAGGAGUUGUUGGGCAGGUUCUAAAGGAGUGGUUGGGCAGGUUCUGAAGGAGUGGUUGGGCAGGUUCUGAAGGAGUGGUUGGGCAGGUUCUGGAGGAGUGGUUGGGCAGGUUCUAAAGGAGUGGUUGGGCAGGUUCUAAAGGAGUAGUUGGGCAGGUUCUAAAGGACUGGUUGGGCAGGUUCUAAAGUAGUAGUUGGGCAGGUUCUAAAGGAGUGGUAGGGCAGGUUCUGAAGGAGUGGUUGGGCAGGUUCUGAAGGAGUGGUUGGGCAGGUUCUGAAGGAGUGGUUGGACAGGUUCUAAAGGAGUGGUUGGGUAGGUUCUAAAGGAGUGGUUGGGCAGGUUCUAAAGGAGUAGUUGGGCAGGUUAUAAAGGAGUGGUUGGGCAGGUUCUAAAGGAGUAGUUGGGCAGGUUCUAAAGGAGUGGUUGGGCAGGUUCUAAAGGAGUAGUUGGGCAGGUUCUAAAGGAGUGGUUGGGCAGGUUCUGAAGGAGUGGUGGGGCAGGUUCUGAAGGAGUGGUUGGGCAGGUUCUGAAGGAGUGGUUGGGCAGGUUCUGAAGGAGUGGUUGGGCAGGUUCUGAAGGAAUGGUUGGGCAGGUUCUGAAGGAGUGGUUGGGCAGGAUCUAAAGGAGUGGUUAGGCAGGUUCUAAAGGAGUGGUUGGGCAGGUUCUAAAGGAGUGGUUGGGCAGGUUCUGAAGGAGUGGUUGGGCAGGUUCUGAAGGAGUGGUUGGGCAGGUUCUGAAGGAGUGGUUGGGCAGGUUCUGAAGGAAUGGUUGGGCAGGUUCUGAAGGAGUGGUUGGGCAGGAUCUAAAGGAGUGGUUAGGCAGGUUCUAAAGGAGUGGUUGGGCAGGUUCUAAAGGAGUGGUUGGGCAGGUUCUGAAGGAGUGGUUGGGCAGGUUCUAAACGAGUGGUUGGGCAGGAUCUAAAGGAGUGGUUAGGCAGGUUCUAAAGGAGUGGUUGGGCAGGUUCUAAAGGAGUGGUUGGGCAGGUUCUGAAGGAGUGGUUGGGCAGGUUCUAAACGAGUGGUUGGGCAGGUUCUGAAGGAGUAGUUGGUGGCUCUAUCCACGUUGCACUUAAUUCCUUGGUCUCUCUUGGGUAUGUUCAGAGCUCCUGCAGAGGGUGAGUGUGUUUUCGGCUGCAACACAACCUAGGGAACCAUACUUUUUGCAGUCUUUGGGCUGGUUUGCAUUGAAGAUAUGGCCCCUACAAUGUCCUAAUUGGAUAAUUGAUGGCAUGUGCUGCAAUCUUCCGAAGUCUUUUCAUGUGACUGAAGAGGCUUCUUCUCUCAAAGCUUAGACCUUGGAACUGAGAUACUCCUAUUGGUUCCCAGAGCAAUGUUCUGGGUGUACUGCCAAUUGGUCUGAGGAGGUCGUCACAGUCACCUGCAUGAACCAAGAUGGAGUGAGAGGAGAUGCU